GGGGAGGGGGUAAGGAGAGCGGUUCAUUUGAAGGUUAUAAAGCAUACACUCUAAUAGGAUCGAAGUGAAAUUAGUUAAUAAGAAAAUGCUGGCCAGAAGCUCUCUGGGCUUUUAAGUGCUCUGCAGGCCAUUUAAGGAAAUUGAAUAAGAACAGACUCAGUUACCUGCGGACCCGAGUAUUGUCUCCGGUCUACACAGAGGCGAGAAGGGAAGGAUUGUGCCUGGGAGACCCAAAGGUCUGCAACCCGCCUGCCAGGGCAGGUCCUUAAAAGAAAGUCCCCUUUCCGCGCACAAUAGACUGCUUUUUUUUGUUUAAAGCAUACCAGACUCUAGUAUUUACCACAAGGGGUUAAGCAAAGGUAAGAGGCCAUUAGCAGAUGCUUAAGGCUUCCAGGGCAGGUCUGAAAGGCAGGCUCUUCACCGCGCUGGAAAAACUGGCCCCUUGGUAUUAUUUUUUCUCUUUCAUUUCUAUGAGUUUUCCCACCAUUGUGGUGCUCUGCUGAUUUGUAUUCGGAGUGGUGCCAGUAGGUCAGUUUAUUGUGUUACCUAACUUCCUAUCUGCUGCCUCGCUUGCUCGCUUUAAACUUUCUAGCCUUUUUGUUUAAGAGGUGAUAAUAAAACCUUUCCUUUGGCAAGCCGCUCAUUAGAAACCCGCCGAACCCUGGAGGGACCUCGGAAAACUGGUGCCCGGGAGUGAGGAGGUCGGAGAAGGCUUUUGUCCGAGGGCAUCACUGCUGUGAGCCGCAGGAAACGCUCCUCAGGAUAUCCUUUUCCUUCAAAGUCUCCAGAAAUUACAAGACAUGCCGCUUUUAUGGGGCCAUUUGUUAGGAGACUGACAAGAUGGCUGUCCUCAAGAGCCACUGCAACCGGCUUGCCAGGACCAGCUCAGAUGAUGCCCUGCAGCUUCUCAGCCUCCUAGUGUGGGGGCGUUUCUUGCUGGAGUUUGAGUACGCUGUGCUCCGGUGGGCAGUGCCUGCCUUUGAGACAUGCUGGCCCUUGAGGGAGUGCUGUGCCAUGUGGAGGAUGGCCGUCUCAAAUACGCGCUCUGAUGUCAUGACCGGUCUGGGCGACAGGGCAGGCUCAGCAACAGACUAGGACUUCCAGCUCGUGCCACACCCUGGGCCCUCACCAGGCUGCUUUUUUGCUUUUUGUGUGGGAAGUUGAAGGUGUUGUCAUGUGUAUGAUUGGAUAGACCAGGGUAGGAAUUGUUUAUUUAUAAUAAUGAUCGUGUGGCCGGCAGUCCGACCGCAUAACUAGCAUGUAAGACACGAUGUGCAAUGUAGCGAAGCUGUUUGUCACGGUGUGAUGUGAUGAAUGCAAUGACAUGGUGUUUUUGGUUUGAUGGUAUAAUUUGUUUGUUUUUUUGCUUUGUAAGCGGCCAACCUUUUUGUAUCCCUGAGCCCCUGAAUAGAGUAGUUAAAAAAUCAAAGUCUUUCUUUCUUUCUUUCAAGAUGGCGGCCGACAGGUGAAGCCCUUCUGAGCUCCUGCAGCUCGGGUGCCUCUUUGCGCGUUCCCUGCACUCCGUGUCCCCCUUUUCCUGUCCCCCCACAAAAAAACCUUGCCUCCACCCACCCUCUCCCUGGGGCGCCCUUCCCCCGCUUUCUGAGCGUUUUUCCCCUGGGCUCUGGCAGCCUCGUUUGCCUCUGCCCCUCCCCCACCUGAGUUCUCCCUGUGAUUCCUGCUGCCUCCCUCCCCCAGGGCCCCUUACCUUGGUCCCUGCCAUCUCCCCCUGCCUUGGGGCUUGCCCUGCACCCCUGCAGGGUUGCUCUGCCCCGCCUCAGGCUGAUUUUGGGGCGUUUUCA
Alligator mississippiensis (American alligator) is the source of this 1802-nucleotide long non-coding RNA. RefSeq lists it as uncharacterized. The record is from RefSeq and is a predicted model, not a curated record. The transcript has 3 exons. Lineage: Eukaryota; Metazoa; Chordata; Crocodylia; Alligatoridae.